Molecule: ribosomal RNA, 408 nt
Filed under: uncultured organism
Description: bacterial SSU rRNA
Rfam family: Bacterial small subunit ribosomal RNA
Source: RNAcentral
GUGCAGCAGGCGCGAAUUUUCACAAUGGGGGAAACCCUGAUGGAGCGACGCCGCGUGGAGGAUGAAGGCGUUUUCGCCGUAAACUCCUGUCAUGCGAGAACAAGAAAGUGAUAGUAUCGCAAGAGGAGGAGGCGGCUAACUCUGUGCCAGCAGCCGCGGUAAUACAGAGGCCUCAAGCGUUGUUCGGAUUCAUUGGGCGUAAAGGGUGCGUAGGUGGCAUGGUAAGUUGAAGGUGAAAUCUCGGAGCUCAACUCCGAAACUGCCUUCAAUACUGCUGUGCUCGAGGACUGUAGAGGAGAAUGGAAUUCACGGUGUAGCAGUGAAAUGCGUAGAUAUCGUGAGGAAGACCAGUGGCGAAGGCGAUUCUCUGGGCAGUUCCUGACACUGAGGCACGAAGGCGUAGGGGAG